RNAcentral lists this long non-coding RNA (609 nucleotides) under Pan troglodytes (chimpanzee). Its description in RNAcentral is "long non-coding RNA NONPTRT009222". Lineage: Eukaryota; Metazoa; Chordata; Mammalia; Primates; Hominidae. The record is from RNAcentral.
AUUUUGUGUGUUUCUCAGCACCUAGCAACAGGUAGUAAGCUCCUUGGGUGCCGAAUCAGUAUUUUCUGCCUUGGAAUCAAAUGUCAGAAGUCAACACUCAAACGUCUUUUGACCAAAAAGAUUCUACGACAAUUAUCCAGAAGUUACAAUGCAAGGAAGAAGAAUUGGAUGUUAAGUCUUGCGUAGCAGGGGUUAUGGGGAGUGGAUCAAGACAAAGUAGAGGUAUCUGCUCCCCUCAUCCUUGUAAGCUCCAUGCCAUUUAUCCAUGCUCACAUUGAUCAUCUCAUACGAGCUUCACAUUUCCCCUCAAGAAAUGGAGCGUUACCCCAUUACCUACUCAUAGAGGAGGAACUGGAAGCCAGAGAGGGAGAUGCCUUAUUGACACAGAGCACAAGUGGCAGGAGCUGGCUUCAGACCUCAGUCCAUCCGGUGUGGCAGUCCCUCUUCCCAGGACCAGGUGGAGCUGGAGAGAAGGAGGAAGAGGAGUCUGUGAGGUCCAAAUGGAGAUGCUCGGCAGGCCCUUUCCAAAGGUGGGAGAUGUGGUGGUGUACACACUGGAGGUGCUGCUCCUGAGCUCAGGGCGCCUUACGGGACUCUCCUCAUGUCGCG